This 246-nucleotide long non-coding RNA is filed under the name Fragaria vesca (wild strawberry). Its description in RNAcentral is "long non-coding RNA (FVES_LNC000804)". The record is from RNAcentral. Lineage: Eukaryota; Viridiplantae; Streptophyta; Magnoliopsida; Rosales; Rosaceae.
GCAGAAUCGGCUGUUCGGAUAAGCUUUGUAAGUGCCAUAGCUGAUGCUUCUUGCCCUUUUGUUCCCCCACUUUUUAGAAGCCAUAAAAAUGCAGGAAUGGCUCCUGCACUUUCAACACAUGCACGAAUAUCCUCACUGUGACAGCACAAAUUCCACAACACAUGAGCGGCAUCCUCCUUCGCCUUUUGAGACCCCGUUUCUAACAACUGCACUAGAGGAGGAAUCCCACCAGCAGCAGUAAUAGCC